AGGGUAGCAAUACCGCUGACGACCGGCGCACGGGUGAGUAACACGUAUCCAACCUACCAUCCCCUCGGGGAUAGCCUUUCGAAAGAAAGAUUAAUACCCGAUACUAUAGCGAGAGGGCAUCCUUUUGCUAUUAAAGAAUUUCGGUGUUUGAUGGGGAUGCGUUCCAUUAGAUUGUUGGUGAGGUAACGGCUCACCAAGUCUUCGAUGGAUAGGGGUUCUGAGAGGAAGGUCCCCCACAUUGGAACUGAGACACGGUCCAAACUCCUACGGGAGGCAGCAGUGAGGAAUAUUGGUCAAUGGACGAGAGUCUGAACCAGCCAAGUAGCGUGAAGGAUGAAGGCCCUAUGGGUCGUAAACUUCUUUUAUAGGGGAAUAAAGUUCGGAACGUGUUCCGUUUUGUAUGUACCCUACGAAUAAGGAUCGGCUAACUCCGUGCCAGCAGCCGCGGUAAUACGGAGGAUCCGAGCGUUAUCCGGAUUUAUUGGGUUUAAAGGGAGCGUAGGUGGACGUAUAAGUCAGUUGUGAAAGUUUGCGGCUCAACCGUAAAAUUGCAGUUGAUACUGUAUGUCUUGAGUGUACAAGAGGUGGGCGGAAUUCGUGGUGUAGCGGUGAAAUGCUUAGAUAUCACGAAGAACUCCGAUUG
Molecule: ribosomal RNA, 643 nt
Filed under: uncultured Bacteroidales bacterium
Lineage: Bacteria; Pseudomonadati; Bacteroidota; Bacteroidia; Bacteroidales
Description: bacterial SSU rRNA
Rfam family: Bacterial small subunit ribosomal RNA
Source: RNAcentral